UUAAGGGGGUUUCCGGUGUGAAUUGCAGAAUCCCGGGAACCCUUGAGUUUUUGACGCAAGUUGCGCCCGAAGCCCUUAGGCUGAGGGCACGUCUGCCUGGGUGUCA
Molecule: ribosomal RNA, 106 nt
Rfam family: 5.8S ribosomal RNA
About the family: 5.8S ribosomal RNA (5.8S rRNA) is a component of the large subunit of the eukaryotic ribosome. It is transcribed by RNA polymerase I as part of the 45S precursor that also contains 18S and 28S rRNA. Functionally, it is thought that 5.8S rRNA may be involved in ribosome translocation.